GUAGGGAAUAUUGGACAAUGGGGGGAACCCUGAUCCAGCCAUGCCGCGUGUGUGAAGAAGGCCUUUUGGUUGUAAAGCACUUUAAGCGAGGAGGAGGCUACCGAGAUUAAUACUCUUGGAUAGUGGACGUUACUCGCAGAAUAAGCACCGGCUAACUCUGUGCCAGCAGCCGCGGUAAUACAGAGGGUGCAAGCGUUAAUCGGAUUUACUGGGCGUAAAGCGCGCGUAGGUGGCCAAUUAAGUCAAAUGUGAAAUCCCCGAGCUUAACUUGGGAAUUGCAUUCGAUACUGGUUGGCUAGAGUAUGGGAGAGGAUGGUAGAAUUCCAGGUGUAGCGGUGAAAUGCGUAGAGAUCUGGAGGAAUACCGAUGGCGAAGGCAGCCAUCUGGCCUAAUACUGACACUGAGGUGCGAAAGCAUGGGGAGCAAACAGGAUUAGAUACCCGUGUAGUCC
Molecule: ribosomal RNA, 451 nt
Filed under: uncultured bacterium
Lineage: Bacteria
Description: bacterial SSU rRNA
Rfam family: Bacterial small subunit ribosomal RNA
Source: RNAcentral